Molecule: microRNA precursor, 60 nt
Filed under: Gyrodactylus salaris (gyrodactylosis fluke)
Lineage: Eukaryota; Metazoa; Platyhelminthes; Monogenea; Gyrodactylidea; Gyrodactylidae
Description: microRNA gsa-mir-993 precursor
Gene: gsa-mir-993
Source: miRBase by way of RNAcentral
AUCUGUAUUCUUGAGCUUGUGGUUGUUUAAUUUAAACUAGAAGCUCGAGCAUACAGGUUC